Molecule: unclassified non-coding RNA, 224 nt
Filed under: Hevea brasiliensis (rubber tree)
Lineage: Eukaryota; Viridiplantae; Streptophyta; Magnoliopsida; Malpighiales; Euphorbiaceae
Source: RNAcentral
GCUAUGAGCAAGCUUCUUCAAAAUUUUACGACCUGUUCCUUUAACUAUAUCCAUAAUGUCAGAGCUAAGAUCUUUAUUUUCAGGUUUACAUUUCAGUUUCUUGUCCUUCGGGAUGAUUACUCGAGGUUUAUCGGAGUUGUCUGAAGCAGAUACUGGAGUUUGGUCCUUUGCAUUAAUUUGCUCAGUGCUUCCCUCAAUUUUAACUCUCUUCAAAUCAUAAGCAA